Molecule: ribosomal RNA, 425 nt
Filed under: uncultured bacterium
Lineage: Bacteria
Description: bacterial SSU rRNA
Rfam family: Bacterial small subunit ribosomal RNA
Source: RNAcentral
GUGGGGAAUAUUGCACAAUGGGGGAAACCCUGAUGCAGCGACGCCGCGUGAGCGAUGAAGGCUUUCGAGUCGUAAAGCUCUGUCCUAUGGGAAGAUAAUGACGGUACCAUAGAAGAAAGCCCCGGCUAAUUACGUGCCAGCAGCCGCGGUAAUACGUAAGGGGCGAGCGUUGUCCGGAAUUAUUGGGCGUAAAGGGUGCGUAGGCGGCAAAUUAAGUCAGAUGUGAAAACUAAGGGCUCAACCCAUAGAUUGCAUCUGAAACUGAUAUGCUUGAGUCAAGGAGAGGAAAGUGGAAUUCCUAGUGUAGCGGUGGAAUGCGUAGAUAUUAGGAGGAAUACCGGUGGCGAAGGCGACUUUCUGGACUUGAACUGACGCUGAGGCACGAAAGCGUGGGGAGCAAACAGGAUUAGAAACCCUAGUAGUCC